GGGUCAAUGAUGACGAUCUAAAUUGUCUAAAGGAAGGUGAUGAAUAAAAAAAUCAUAAACAAGAGGACUGAGCUGAGGUCA
Molecule: small nucleolar RNA, 81 nt
Organism: Nycticebus coucang (slow loris)
Lineage: Eukaryota; Metazoa; Chordata; Mammalia; Primates; Lorisidae
Product: small nucleolar RNA SNORD115
Exons: 1
Source: RefSeq, a predicted model, not a curated record